This 462-nucleotide ribosomal RNA is filed under the name Triticum aestivum (bread wheat). RNAcentral's name for it is "partial small subunit ribosomal RNA". The record is from RNAcentral. Lineage: Eukaryota; Viridiplantae; Streptophyta; Magnoliopsida; Poales; Poaceae.
AUGGUUAGUGCCAAGAGGCUUGCUCAGAUGGCAAAGAAGUGGCAGAGGAUGGCAGCCAUCAGGAGGAAGAGGCUCACCCGGACCACGGCAGCAGCGGAAGGAGCAGCCAAUGACGAGUGCUGUGCGACUUCACUGUCGGUGGCCAUGAAGGGCCACUGUGUGGUGUACACCGCCGACAGUGUGCGGUUCGAGGUGCCGCUGGCGUACCUCGACACCGCGGUCUUCGGCGAGCUCCUGUCGAUGUCCCAGGAGGAAUUCGGCUUUGCACGCGACGAUGACGGGAGGAUCAUGAUGCCCUGCGAUGCCGCCGUCAUGGAGUACGCCCUGUGCUUGCUUCAGAGAGAUGCCUCCGUGGAAACCAUGAGGGCGUUCAUGAGCUCCGUCGCGAGGCCGUGCAGCAGCUUUGAUGGCAGCGCGGUGGCACCAUCUGUAGGGCUUGGCCACCAAGUAGGCGUCUGUUAG